UGGUGGUGUAGCUCAGUUGGUAGAGCGGGGGCAAAAAUCCCGCGUCGGUGGUUCGAACCCACCCACCGCAAG
This 72-nucleotide transfer RNA is filed under the name compost metagenome. Its description in RNAcentral is "tRNA-Phe". It matches the Rfam family "tRNA". Rfam says of the family: Transfer RNA (tRNA) molecules are approximately 80 nucleotides in length. The record is from RNAcentral.